This is a regulatory RNA element of Micromonospora sp. CB01531, 65 nucleotides long. It matches the Rfam family "L31-Actinobacteria ribosomal protein leader". The record is from Rfam. Lineage: Bacteria; Bacillati; Actinomycetota; Actinomycetes; Micromonosporales; Micromonosporaceae.
CCGGUUCCGGUUCACGCCCGAGCCUCUCGCGGACGGCGGGGAGCGACGACGGCGACCCGGCGACC